CAGUAGCCGCGGUAAUACGAAGGGUGCAAGCGUUAAUCGGAAUUACUGGGCGUAAAGCGUGCGUAGGCGGUUUGUUAAGUCUGUUGUGAAAUCCCCGGGCUCAACCUGGGAAUGGCAAUGGAUACUGGCAAGCUAGAGUGUGUCAGAGGAUGGUGGAAUUCCCGGUGUAGCGGUGAAAUGCGUAGAGAUCGGGAGGAACAUCAGUGGCGAAGGCGGCCAUCUGGGACAACACUGACGCUGAGGCACGGAAGCGUGGGGAGCAAACAGGAUUAGAUACCCCCGUAGUCCCUGUCUCUUAUAC
Molecule: ribosomal RNA, 301 nt
Filed under: uncultured bacterium
Lineage: Bacteria
Description: partial 16S ribosomal RNA
Rfam family: Bacterial small subunit ribosomal RNA
Source: RNAcentral